RNAcentral lists this ribosomal RNA (253 nucleotides) under uncultured bacterium. RNAcentral describes it as "partial 16S ribosomal RNA". It matches the Rfam family "Bacterial small subunit ribosomal RNA", at positions 524 to 776 of the family's 1533-position model. The record is from RNAcentral.
UACGGAGGGUGCAAGCGUUGUCCGGAUUUAUUGGGCUUAAAGGGUGCGUAGGCGGUUAAUUAAGUCAGUGGUGAAAGCCCGGAGCUCAACUCCGGAACUGCCAUUGAAACUGUUUAGCUGGAGUAUGAGAGAGGUGAGUGGAAUUCCCAGUGUAGAGGUGAAAUUCGUAGAUAUUGGGAAGAACACCGGUGGCGAAGGCGGCUCACUGGCUCAUUACUGACGCUCAUGCGCGACAGCGUGGGGAUCAAACAGG